RNAcentral lists this ribosomal RNA (497 nucleotides) under uncultured bacterium. Its description in RNAcentral is "partial 16S ribosomal RNA". It matches the Rfam family "Bacterial small subunit ribosomal RNA", at positions 28 to 507 of the family's 1533-position model. The record is from RNAcentral.
GAUGAACGCUGGCGGCGUGCCUAAUACAUGCAAGUCGAGCGAACGGACGAGGAGCUUGCUUCUCUGAUGUUAGCGGCGGACGGGUGAGUAACACGUGGAUAACCUACCUGUAAGACUGGGAUAACUUCGGGAAACCGUAGCUAAUACCGGAUAAUAUUUUGCACCGCAUGGUUCAAAAGUGAAAGACGGUCUUGCUGUCACUUAUAGAUGGAUCCGCGCUGCAUUAGCUAGUUGGUAAGGUAACGGCUUACCAAGGCAACGAGGCAUAGCCGACCUGAGAGGGUGAUCGGCCACACUGGAACGGAGACACGGUCCAGGCUCCUACGGGAGGCAGCAGUAGGGAAUCUUCCGCAAUGGGCGAAAGCCUGACGGAGCAACGCCGCGUGAGUGAUGAAGGUCUUCGGAUCGUAAAACUCUGUUAUUAGGGAAGAACAUAUGUGUAAGUAACUGUGCACAGCUUGACGGUACCUAAUCAGAAAGCCACGGCUAACUACGUG